UUGGGCAAGGGGCUCGCGGCAGCGGCUCUGGCGUCUCUCCUGCAGGCGCGUGGCUACAAGGUUCGUCUCCGUAAGCUCGAUCC
This 83-nucleotide transfer RNA is filed under the name Pleomorphomonas sp. T1.2MG-36. Its description in RNAcentral is "tRNA-Arg(cct)". Lineage: Bacteria; Pseudomonadati; Pseudomonadota; Alphaproteobacteria; Hyphomicrobiales; Pleomorphomonadaceae. The record is from RNAcentral.